Molecule: long non-coding RNA, 412 nt
Filed under: Mustela putorius furo (domestic ferret)
Lineage: Eukaryota; Metazoa; Chordata; Mammalia; Carnivora; Mustelidae
Description: lncRNA (ENSMPUG00000024158.1)
Source: RNAcentral
UGUGUAUUUCUUUUUCUUGUCUUACAAUACUAGUGAGGACCUCGAGGAAUUUCCUGUUGAGCAGUAGUGGCGAUAAUCGAAUCCACCUUGUUCCUCAUCCCAAGCCGUGAGGACCGAUGGCACUCCUGUCUGGAGCCUAGCAUACACUUGGCGCUCAGUGGACGUCAGUGGGAACAGGAGGCCCGUGUGCUCUCAUUCCCCAGGCCCAUCUUGGUCCAGGGUUGGAAGCGGGGAAUCCUCAUCCGACGGACUUUCUCUCUGCAGAACCUGGGCCUUCAGAGACACACGGCGUUGGCCUUUCUCCGCUUCACAAGGGAGUGCUUGGGUGAAGCUUUUAUUCCACACUUUUCUCUUCUCCCAGGGGAAUGGAAAGCGGCCCCUCCCCCCAGCCCUGAGCCCUGCGGGCCUCAGC